RNAcentral lists this ribosomal RNA (1372 nucleotides) under uncultured bacterium. RNAcentral's name for it is "bacterial SSU rRNA". It matches the Rfam family "Bacterial small subunit ribosomal RNA", at positions 28 to 1381 of the family's 1533-position model. The record is from RNAcentral.
GAUGAACGCUGGCGGCGUGCCUAAUACAUGCAAGUCGAGCGAACAGACAAGGAGCUUGCUCCUUUGACGUUAGCGGCGGACGGGUGAGUAACACGUGGGUAACCUACCUAUAAGACUGGGAUAACUUCGGGAAACCGGAGCUAAUACCGGAUAAUAUUUCGAACCGCAUGGUUCGAUAGUGAAAGAUGGUUUUGCUAUCACUUAUAGAUGGACCCGCGCCGUAUUAGCUAGUUGGUAAGGUAACGGCUUACCAAGGCGACGAUACGUAGCCGACCUGAGAGGGUGAUCGGCCACACUGGAACUGAGACACGGUCCAGACUCCUACGGGAGGCAGCAGUAGGGAAUCUUCCGCAAUGGGCGAAAGCCUGACGGAGCAACGCCGCGUGAGUGAUGAAGGUCUUCGGAUCGUAAAACUCUGUUAUUAGGGAAGAACAUACGUGUAAGUAACUAUGCACGUCUUGACGGUACCUAAUCAGAAAGCCACGGCUAACUACGUGCCAGCAGCCGCGGUAAUACGUAGGUGGCAAGCGUUAUCCGGAAUUAUUGGGCGUAAAGCGCGCGUAGGCGGUUUUUUAAGUCUGAUGUGAAAGCCCACGGCUCAACCGUGGAGGGUCAUUGGAAACUGGAAAACUUGAGUGCAGAAGAGGAAAGUGGAAUUCCAUGUGUAGCGGUGAAAUGCGCAGAGAUAUGGAGGAACACCAGUGGCGAAGGCGACUUUCUGGUCUGUAACUGACGCUGACGUGCGAAAGCGUGGGGAUCAAACAGGAUUAGAUACCCUGGUAGUCCACGCCGUAAACGAUGAGUGCUAAGUGUUAGGGGGUUUCCGCCCCUUAGUGCUGCAGCUAACGCAUUAAGCACUCCGCCUGGGGAGUACGACCGCAAGGUUGGAACUCAAAGGAAUUGACGGGGACCCGCACAAGCGGUGGAGCAUGUGGUUUAAUUCGAAGCAACGCGAAGAACCUUACCAAAUCUUGACAUCCUUUGACAACUCUAGAGAUAGAGCCUUCCCCUUCGGGGGACAAAGUGACAGGUGGUGCAUGGUUGUCGUCAGCUCGUGUCGUGAGAUGUUGGGUUAAGUCCCGCAACGAGCGCAACCCUUAAGCUUAGUUGCCAUCAUUAAGUUGGGCACUCCAAGUUGACUGCCGGUGACAAACCGGAGGAAGGUGGGGAUGACGUCAAAUCAUCAUGCCCCUUAUGAUUUGGGCUACACACGUGCUACAAUGGACAAUACAAAGGGCAGCGAAACCGCGAGGUCAAGCAAAUCCCAUAAAGUUGUUCUCAGUUCGGAUUGUAGUCUGCAACUCGACUACAUGAAGCUGGAAUCGCUAGUAAUCGUAGAUCAGCAUGCUACGGUGAAUACGUUCCCGGGUCU